UGGCUCAGCAUGGCGCUUGCAAUGCCAAGAAUGUGGGUUCAAAUCCCAC
This 49-nucleotide transfer RNA is filed under the name Salmo salar (Atlantic salmon). The record is from Rfam by way of RNAcentral. Lineage: Eukaryota; Metazoa; Chordata; Actinopteri; Salmoniformes; Salmonidae.